Molecule: ribosomal RNA, 277 nt
Filed under: Delftia sp. A317
Lineage: Bacteria; Pseudomonadati; Pseudomonadota; Betaproteobacteria; Burkholderiales; Comamonadaceae
Description: partial 16S ribosomal RNA
Rfam family: Bacterial small subunit ribosomal RNA
Source: RNAcentral
UUGAUGGCAGGAGUUUCAGACUGGAUUCGUGCUCGAAAGAGAACCUGCACACAGGUGCUGCAUGGCUGUCGUCAGCUCGUGUCGUGAGAUGUUGGGUUAAGUCCCGCAACGAGCGCAACCCUUGUCAUUAGUUGCUACAUUCAGUUGAGCACUCUAAUGAGACUGCCGGUGACAAACCGGAGGAAGGUGGGGAUGACGUCAAGUCCUCAUGGCCCUUAUAGGUGGGGCUACACACGUCAUACAAUGGCUGGUNCAGAGGGUUUGCCAACCCAGAGGG